Molecule: long non-coding RNA, 1161 nt
Organism: Passer domesticus (house sparrow)
Lineage: Eukaryota; Metazoa; Chordata; Aves; Passeriformes; Passeridae
Exons: 3
Source: RefSeq, a predicted model, not a curated record
CAUUGAAAUCCAAUUCCUAGCCCUGCACAGGACAGCCCCAAGAGUCAUAUCACAUGUCCAAGACUGCUGUCCAAAUGUUUCUUGAACUCUAUCAGUCCUGGUGCUGUGACCACUUCCCUGGGAAGCCUGUUCCAGUGCCCAGGCUGGAAGCCUGUCACAGGAGGACAUCUGACUGGGUUGACAUAUUUGGUUCAUAACAAAUCCCCACUGGCCAUUACUCAUCUCCUUACUCUGCUUAAGUAUCUGAAAACUGUUUGAUUGCUUUGCUCUUCAGCUGAUAUAUACAGAAUCAGAUUAUCGGGGUUCCCUCUGCAACAAAUAGCUGUUAACAAAGACAGCAGAUGGACUCAAUAGUAAUAAUUUUUGGUUAACACACAUAAAGGAGAGAUUGUGGCCUAGUCUGUGCUAUGGAAGAUCUUUGCAUCAGCAGCACUGCAUGAAAAGGAACGUUUAACGCUGGAAGCUAGAUACAAAGGAUAUGAAAGGAAAUUAUCUAAUUCACUAAACCAUGAUGAGGAACCCUCUGUGUCACUGAUAUUUUCAUCAGCUCCCUCUCACAUACAUAUUGCUCCAUUAAAUGUUCAAGCCACCAUCAUGCCACUCACAUUUUGUUAAAUUGAUUCAUGCUCAAGACCAUCUAUAAAUGUAAUUCUUCAACUAUUGAAAUGGUAAAAUACAAACUUUUUAUUAUACUGAGUAACUUUAUCUCAUUACAUAAAUGUGCAAGUAAAAAAAUCUGCUUUCCCAUUUCUAAUAAAAGUCUGAGAUAUCCAAUAGCAGUCAAGAAGACAGAAAUCAGAAUCAGUUACAAAUCUGUAACUGAACAUUACAGCCUGAAGUUUUACUAAUCAGAUAUUACAAGUUAAAUAAACUUUUCCCUUUGCUUUCAGUUGAUACUGUUUGUUUUCUUUGUAAUUAAUUUGAUUAAAAAUGUAACAAGAAAAUUUUGUUAUAGCUGAUAACAUUACAAAACUUGCUAUGCAUUAGUGAAGAGAUCCUGACAUGCACAAGGAAGAAAGUCUGUGCAUCAAUGGCAACGUGGUUUAUAGCAUAGAAUCUACUGGAAAAGGAAUUCAAGUUUUUUCAGUCUCUCUGUAUUUUGUCCUUUCUCUUGAGGUAAACUGUUAGUGAGACGAUUUUAAUUUCAGAGUCUUUAGUUGU